RNAcentral lists this ribosomal RNA (350 nucleotides) under Florenciella parvula. RNAcentral describes it as "partial Bacterial large subunit ribosomal RNA". It matches the Rfam family "Bacterial large subunit ribosomal RNA", at positions 2114 to 2473 of the family's 2925-position model. Lineage: Eukaryota; Dictyochophyceae; Florenciellales. The record is from RNAcentral.
GUAUUGACCUUGGUCAAACAAUGUGUAGGAUAGCUGGGAGGCUUUGAACCUGCGUCGCCAGGCGUGGGGGAGCCGUUGUUGAAAUACCAGCCUUUGUUUGAUCGGGGCCUAACCCUCUUUAGAGGGAACAGUGCGUGGUGGGUAGUUUGACUGGGGUGGUCGCCUCCAAAAGAGUAACGGAGGCUUCUAAAGGUACCCUCAGCACGCUUGGUAACCGUGCGUAGAGUGCAAUGGCAUAAGGGUGCUUGACUGAGAGACAUACAGGUCGACCAGGUUGGAAACAAGAGCAUAGUGAUCCGGUGGUUCCGCAUGGAAGGGCCAUCGCUCAAAGGAUAAAAGGUACUCCGGGG